RNAcentral lists this long non-coding RNA (1158 nucleotides) under Capra hircus (goat). RNAcentral's name for it is "lncRNA (ENSCHIG00010007581.1)". The record is from RNAcentral. Lineage: Eukaryota; Metazoa; Chordata; Mammalia; Artiodactyla; Bovidae.
AUGCGAAGAACUGACUCACUGGAAAAGACUCUGAUGGUGGGAAAGAUUGAGAGCAGGAGGAAAAGGGGAUGACACAGGAUGAGAUGGUUGGACGGCAUCACCUACUUGAUGGACAUGAGUUUGAGUAAGCUCUGGGAGUUACAGAUGGAUAGGGAAGCCUAGAGUGCUGCAAUCCAUGGGGUCACAAAGAGCCAGACAUUACUGAGUGACUGAAUUAACUAACACGGCAUGUGGGAUCUUAGUACCCUGACCAGGAAUCCCACAACCCCAGCAUUGGAAGUGCAGAGUCUUAACUUCUGGAUCACCAGGGAAGUCCUAAAUGCAUUGUUUUAAUAAAUGCAUUGUGCCGUUAAGUGUGAAUGCUGUGUAGAGUUUAAUGACAUUAUGAACUUGCUGUUUUGAUAAUGAGAUUCUGAGGAGGACUCAUCCAGAUUUCUUCUGAUCACCAAACCAAAGAGGUUCAUUUCAGCCUUCCAUAAAUUGAAUAUUCUUUCUAGAGUGGGCAGAAAAUUUAAAUUCCUCUAUUGUGUAUAUAUAAUCUCAAACCCAUCAAUUUCCUACCUAUAGUUCAGAAGGUUUUAAAACCAAUGUUCUGUCAAGAAUUUUGGGAAAAUAAAACAUUCCAGAGAUGAGACAAUCAAAUGACAUUAUUUAUAUUCUGGGCUUAACUAUGGGAUUCAUUUUUGAAUCCAAGCGUUAUCAUGGUGGCAUACAGUUGUGAGUUCUGCCAGAUCCAUGCCUUUCAUUCUUUUGUGGGCACCACCCCUCCCAGUGCAAAACUGAGCUAAUGCUCCUCAGCAGGGAAAACAAAUCACAUAUCCAUCAAUUCAUUAGAGUCUGGUAUUACACUCCUAUUGUCUACUCUAAAUCUUUUGUUAAGCUCUCUGUUAAAUGAGCUAUUAAAUGGUAAUAUUUAGAUUUUCAUCAUUCUAUUUGAAUUUCACAGGUCUUAAAUCAUCAAGAACUCAUGCUGAAUUGAAAGUUUUCAAUACCUGACAUGUGAAACUAAAGGAUUAGGAAAACUAUUUUAGUACUUCUUUUCAUAAGAAAACCAUGAACUCUCACAAAUUAUCAUGUCCUUUCCUCUCAUAGGUAUAAUCUGCCAUUUGGCUUUAGCGAUAACACAUAUACUCGUGGUCCAAUGCAAGUGACACCUCA